GCGCCCCCGGCAACGCUACUCGAUGAUGCUUUGCAUCACAGUGUGACAGCCAAGCUCUUCUGAGUUGAUGUUGUGGAGUUCAAGGGUCAUCUUUUGUCUAACUUCCAUAGAAAACAGGGCAGGAAUGACUCCUCACACACUCUUAUGCACGCUCAGAAAUAAGAAUGGGAAGCUGGAGCUGGAUUUUUAUAUGAAUAAGCAUGAUAUUUGGAUAGCAAACUUCCUUGCAGAUGAUGAAGAGAGCCCCAGAAGAAGGGUUCUGCACUCUCAGGAGGUGGUUCCAGAGUUUCCUGGCCCAGAAAUGUACUCAUUACAGCUCUUUGAUACAUUGAAAAUGGGUGAUCUGGAAGAGGAAGCAGGACAGAUUACAGACGGAAGACAGUUCUUUGUCAAGCCAGACAAAUGGACUGUGGGAUUCAUGAGUACCUUCAGACUGACCUGGUUCAACUGAGCAAUCAGCAAGGUGGUGGCGGAGCCGAGCAAGUGAGUAAGAAGCUGUUUGGCACCUGAGGAGCAGGCAUACAGUGAUGAGAAGAAGAGACCUGGAUACAGACAGAAAUGCCAGAAGGGGUAUAUCCAGUUCCAUUUUGCAGCUCAGCUACCUGGAGCAAUGACAGGGGAAAGAGAGGUGUUGGAUGUCCUGCGUACAGAAGAUAUUGGCAUGUAGUAGAUGUCUUUUCUCUUGUAUCCUGUUGUUCUCCAGGUGAAAUAACAUUUUACCCCUUGGUGAGAGAGCAAGGAGAAACUUGCUCUUUUUUUUUUCCCCUUUUGUUGGUCUAGGGAGCUGGGUGGAGAGAGGAAGAGGGAAUGUCAUUGUCAUCUGGGGAGAUCACGGAACAAAAAGUUAGGCAGGAGGGAGAAGGCUGCAGGAGCCAGCACAAGGAAAGCCUUGAUGCUUGAUGCUGCAGGGCUUGGCAGGUUCUCAUCCCUGCCUUGCUGUUAUUUGUGUUCCAUCCUGCCGAGGGAGAUGCCAAUAUGUGAAUGUGUUGGAGCAUCAUAUAAAAUGAGACUUUGAUUCUUGUGUACAAUUUGGACGUGCUUAAAACUCUUACCAGGAAUCAGGGAUCAGGGCAGUGCCAGUCCCUGUGCUCAAUCCUACCCUGUCCUGCCUAGUCCUAGUGUGGUCCUUCCCUGCUUGUCCUAAAUAGAAGAGGAUGCAGAAAGCUGCUUCCUUCCUCUCUUGGGGUGGCAGCAGUGGUCCUGUGUGGCCUCUUUCCCCAUUUUCAGGUUAACUGGUUAUAUUAAAGACUCAGAUGUUUUGAAUUUUCAGAAGUGUCUUCUGGACAUGGCUACCCAGGAUGGGUUCUCUGGGCAGCUCUGUGACGCUGCAGCAAGGGACUCUUGGUGGCAGUUGGUGUUUCGAAGAUUGCUGCAGAUGUUGAAGCUCCCGUUCAUCUCUUUCUUUUGGAUGGAAGCAAGCCCAAAUUGACUAUAAAAGAAGAAAUACUGGAAAAGCAUGGAACCUAGUGAGCUUCACCCCCCAGAUCCAGAUUGCAGCCCCCCUACUUCUCCUCUUCACAAGAGCUUUGUAGUACUUUAACAAGAAAGGGAAAAAUUUCUGUGCAUAAAACAGGAGGAUAUGAAUGUAGGUGACAGCUUGCACACCUGUCUGCUCAAAGAGCAGCUGAGCAAUCUGAGCAGCACCAGCCCUGCUAACAGUGUGUCACACUGCCUCAAGGCAGAGACUCCAGCAUUGCCCAGUAGCUCAGCAGAGAUCAGAGGGAGACUGGUGUGGUCCAUGUGAAGCUGGAAAAGCAAAUGCCAAACUCAACAGCAGAAACACAGGCUACAGACUUGUGUGUGUGUGUAAAUUCAUACAGGAGCAGAAGAGACGUAGAGAAGGGAUUCUUUGUGGCAGUUGGUGUUUUGAAGACUGCUGCAAGUGAUGAAACUCCCAUUCAGCUCUUCUCUUUUGUAUAGAAGGAAAGACUUGACAGAUCAAAGGUAGAGAAUCUUCAGUGGUGGAGACAGGAAAAAGUGAAUUGCAAGUCCUUAACAUACAGGAGCAGGAAGAUAUAAUGGAGUGGGAGAAUGUGAGAAGACCAGUGAAGAACAUUGAAAUGGAAAUAAAGACUAUUUCAGCAGAGUGGGAUGUGCUCUGAUGCAAGGUAACAAAUUUGUGGCUGUAUAUCCCUGUUGGUUUGGAGGGUUUUGGAGAGAGCAGGUCAAGGUGGGUUGAGAGGGAGUGACUUCCCCGUAAAGAGACUUAUCCAUAAAGAACAUAAUGGGCUUCUUCCUUGACCUGCUGACUGUUAACUUCUUCAGGCCCAGCCAAGCUCUUUUUAUCUUGCUGAUUGUGCUGGUCUUGGCUGGCAUGAAGUUACUUUUCUUCAUAGUGGCUUGUGUGGGGCAAUGUUCUAGUGUUGUGACUAAAACAGCCUUGAUAACACACCCAUGUUUUAAGCCAUUGCUUAGCAGUGCUUACACAGAGUCAAGGCCUUUUCUGCUCCUCACACGGCCCCACCAGUGAGUAGGCUGGUUAGGAGGGGAGUAGAAGUUGGGAAGGGACACAGCUGGGACGGCUGACCCCACCCCAGGUGACCAAAGGGAUAUUCCAUACCAUAUGAUGUCAUGCUCAGCCAUAAAAACUAGGGGGACAUUCAGAGUGAUGGCAUUUAUCUUCCCAGGCAGCCAUUAUGCGUGAUGGUGCCCUGCUUUCCUGGAGAUAGAUGCACACCUGCCUGUCAAUGGGAAGCAGUGAAUGAAUUCCUUAUUUUGCUUUGCAUGUGUCCACAGCUUUUGCUUUACCUAUUAAACUGUCUUUAUCUCAACCUAUGAGUUUUCUUACUUUUACCUUUCCAGUUCUCUCCCCCAUCCCGCUGGUGAGGGAAGUCAGAAAGUGGCUCUGUGGGGCUUAGUUGAUGGCUAGGGUUAAACCACAGCAGUCCUUUUUGGCACUUAACGUGGGACAGGAAAGGUUUGAGAUAACAGAUUUGAUUGGAAUGUGCUAGAUGGAAUUUAUAGCUGUUAUUGCUCUUUAGCUAUUACUUGGCAGGCUCCCAGGCUUGCCAUGGGGCUUGCUUGCUUUACUGUAUAUGAGUCUAGUGCUUGUUAGUGGCUGCUUUUGCUUUUGCUGCUUGUUGCACUGCUUAUCAUCUCCCUGUGCUGUGCCUGGGAGCAUUCUGAUAACAGCAGUGGUGAUGCGCCUGGACUGGCAGAUGGCCAGAGCAUCACUGCUGUUCCUGUGCGCUGUACUGGACAGGCUGGGACUCCGGUGUGAACUUGAGUCAAAGGGGCUGUGACCUGUGGAUGAGUUUACAUGGGAGCAGGACACCUCUAAGUGUCUGUGACUGUGGACGAGUCCACAACAGAGCAGGUACACCUUGAAGCAUCUGUGGCCAUGGUUAUGUCCGUGCCACAGCAAGUAUACCUCUGAAGAAAUUGUGGGCCAAGGAUAAGUCCAUUCUGGAGAAGGUACACCUUGAACCACUUGUGGCUGUGGGGAAGUCCAUGCCACAGCAGGUGCAUCUUGAAGCAUCAGUGGCUGUGCAUGUGGUCAUGCUGGAGCACCUCAAAGUCUGUGACACUGCCAGUACACCCCUGAAGGGACUGUGGCCAUGGGUAAGGCCAUGUUGGAGCAGGUUCACUCCUGAAGGGACUGACUGUGGGUAAGGCUGUGCUGGAGCCAGGUGUAUCUCUGAAGGCGUUGUGGCCGUGCUGGAACGGAUGCACCUCAAAGUGACUGUGGCUGUGGAUAAGUCUAUGCUGCAGCAGGUAUACUCCUGAAGAGACUGUGGCCCAUAGAUAAGGCUCCACUUGCAGCAGGUACCACUAAGGGACUGCAGUCCAUGGAUAAGUUUGAGCCAGAGCAGGGGCAAAGGGAGGUGUUCGUUGCAAUGUUAAACCCUAUAAACUGAUCCUAUGGGAGCAGGGGUGGGGAUUGUAAUGGCUAUACCUUUUAAAUUGUUGUAACCCAUGAUCUGAGUUGCAUGUUAUGGGAAUUACUAUAGCAGGAACCACCUGAACCAGUGGAGGACAAGCCUUACAAGAAGCAGUGCAAGUGCAGCAGUGACCUGACCUGAGCUGUCUUUGGUGCUCAGUAACUCCACAAGGGCUCUAAACAGCUGCCUGCUGAUGGGAAGUAUUGAAUGAAUUCCUUAUUUUGCUUUGCUUGUGCUCACGGCUUUUGCUUUUCCUGUUAAAGUGUCUUUAUCUCAGCCUGUGAGUUUUCUUUUACCCUUCCAAAUUCUCUCCCCAUCCCAUCUAGGGAGGGAGUGGCUGUGUGGGCCUUAAUUGCUGGCCGAAGUUAAAUCAUGACACCAAUUGGUACAAUUCAUGUGCGUGGACCCUCCUCCUAUUUCAGGUGGAGAAAACUGAGUGUGAGAAGUGUUGCCUGAAAACAGAGUUCUUGAAAUGCCAACAGCAACAGGCGCUGCUCAGAGCUCAGAAGAUGAAGGCUUGCCCUGCAGCAAGAAAUACGUGUAUUACUGCCAAGCUGUGCAGCAGAAGCAGAAAGCAAAGCUGGCGAGGUCUGCAGAAGAGAAGGCUGAACUGAAUGAGAAAAUCAGGAAUACAGAGAAGCACUUAGGGGUGCUGAUGGAGGCAUAGGUUUCCUGCAGAGGCCCAGAGAAAGAAGAUGUGAAGAGGUCAGAGCUGUGGGGUGGCUGAUUGGCAGGCCCUAUGAUCCCUAAGGUGCAGGGAGAGGGCAGGAGUCACCGUGUGCUGCUGUUUCCAUAGGACACUGCUUCCCUGGUAUCCCUCACCCUGCUCUAUAGGUAACUGGGUUGCAAGUGAGGAUCCUGCUGUUGUGAGGAGGCAGAAUCACCAGAUGAAUCCAAAUAAUUCAUCCGGCCUCAAAGAUGCCCUACAGAAAGGUUCUUUGUCCAUACUCUGUCUGUUCUAUAGUGUGGCACCUUGUUGCUGGAUUCCUUGCACAGUGUUGGUUCUGUGAUGGAGAUAAGGUUUGGGAUGGAGCAAGGAACCCCAGUGCACAUGGUACUCCUGGUAGGAAGGGGGAUAGCAGCUGGGUGUGUGAUGGGAGGUAUCAGAUCCAGGCUCUUGCCACUGACUCUCCUUUUGGCUUUUGCCCUGUUGCCUACGGUGUUAUGGAGAAACUUAAGAACCUGCAUAUGAAUGUGAGCUGGCUUCUCUCCUUCAUCCUCUCCUACCUGGAGCUCAAGGACAUUAACUCUGAGUUGCAUCAGGUGGAUGAGAUCUCGCAGAUCACACUGGAGGAGACAAACCUCAUGCUGGAGUAGUCCCCUCUCUCCUGCCACAGUGCCUUUUGCACAUGAUCAUUAAUAAAACCAUGGUUUCUUUACUUGUGCUCCAGGUCAUCAUUCUCAUGGGGUAGGGGGUUCUCCUCUGGUCCUGCAGGACUGGCUUGGCUCUUCAGCUCCACUGUGGAGAUGUAGUGUGAGUAGAGGGGACUGCAGUACAGGCAUGGCUCUGAGCACAGCCAGGCUGGGUCGUGCCUGGCCAGUGGACACCCCCAGUGGUUUCUUUGCUGUGCUCCUUAGCAGUCUGGGUUGAGUAGCAGAGAGGCAGGGAGACUCUGGCAGUGGCUGCCUGGCUUAUGGUACAAGAAAUAUCCCAGGAGAAUGUAGCCUGGGCACUCCUCUAUGGCUGUGCUGCAGUCUUCGUGUGACUAUCACAGCUGACUGGCUUGGGCUAGAGCAGUGUGGUUCUGAGAUUCAGGAUUUGGGUCCUUUCACUCUGGAAAGCAGCCUCUGUCUUCUUCAAGUGGUCUGAUCAGCCCACGCAGCAGCUAAACAGAGUCCUUGCCUGUGUUUUCCUCUUGAGUGCAUCUGUUUGUUAAAUAAUGUAGCAACACAAGAUUCCUUGAACUAAAUUCAUCUUCCCUUGUAGCUGCGGGAACAGUCAGUGGCAUGGUGACAUUGGGACUUGCAGUCAGAUCUGCUGCAAGGCUCGGGGCUAGCAUGGCAGAGCCCACCUUCUUUCAACAGAUGCUGUCCCAAGUAGAAACUUCACCUUUAAACUUUAGGCUUAUUUUCUUAGACUUCUCUUCAGUCAGCAGCAUGGCCAUCCUUCUAACCUGGAAAAAAUCAAGGACACCAGGGUGUUUGGAGGAAGAUGUGAGGCUCAAGAGCAGCCAGACAUCACACAGAAACAAUUGCACUGGGACCAAAGGAUGCUGCAUCUCCCUGUCCUGCCUCCAGCAUGGUUCAUGGGAAGAAACUAAGGGCAAAGGCAAGUGCAUGUAGUUCAGUGUUGUUCAAUCCUGUACCUACUUCCAGCUGAGGAGCUUCCUGUGUUUCCUACAGGUAUAAAAUGACUGGCUUAAAGGAGCUGAGGAGAAAUCCCCCUUACAGCGUUCGCUGUCCUUCCUAAAGAACAUUCUUUUGCCCAUAUGGUAGGUAUGAAGAUGAUGUGUGGGGUGGCCAGCACAGCAUUGCUCCUUUGACUCGAACACCUCAUUUAUUCUGGAAAGGCACAAGACCAUGUGCCAGAAACCAGCAGCUUAGGUGGUAUCGCCAAAUGUGUAGUAUGUGUUUCUUGGAAGUCAGAGCUGAGCAACAGAGCUACAUGAACAGAGAGUGCCCCAUCCUGUGUGGUAAGGGCUUUGACAUUGUCCUUUCCCCAUGGCUGGGCUUACAUUACUGCAUAAGUUACUUUCACUGUUGGUAGUGGAGAUAGGAAGGACAUGUCUAUAAAACUGUGGUUUUUCUGCAA
This is an RNA transcript of Falco peregrinus (peregrine falcon), 6633 nucleotides long. RefSeq lists it as uncharacterized. The transcript is spliced from 6 exons. The record is from RefSeq and is a predicted model, not a curated record. Lineage: Eukaryota; Metazoa; Chordata; Aves; Falconiformes; Falconidae.